Molecule: ribosomal RNA, 603 nt
Filed under: Triticum aestivum (bread wheat)
Lineage: Eukaryota; Viridiplantae; Streptophyta; Magnoliopsida; Poales; Poaceae
Description: partial small subunit ribosomal RNA
Source: RNAcentral
AUGGCGGGCCAAGAGGAGAAGGUUCUUGACGCACCAACGUCGCCGGUGCCCACGCAGACCAUGGCGGGCCAAGAGGGGGACGCUGUCGACGCACCAAAGUCGCCGGCGCCGGCCGGGAGCGACACCGGCCUCAAGCUUCCGUCGGCCGCUCCGGACGCCACGGUUCAUCAGGUCGUGUCUGGGGAUGAGGAGGAGCUGCAGGAGACCCUUGCCCGUGGGAAGAAGAAGAAGAUGGAUGACCUAUCCGGAUCAGCUGCUUCCGGAUCCACCAAGAAGCCCCGCGCCGCCGAUCUGCUGCAUGCCUCCAUCUUUCAAGACGAGGCACCAUCGACUGGACUCGCCCCCACGCUCUUCGCUGACUACACCUUUCUUUCUCGGGAGCCAUUUUCUGCAGCAGCGGGCGUCCGGCCGCCACCACGCCGUCCACCCGGAGGUAACACAGCGCCGGCCGGGACAGCAAUAUUCUUUGGACCCAUGACCGAGGCGCAAGAUCGUCUCUCGGAGAUAAUGGGUGACCAGGAUUUUGUACUCCGCGCCGCCAUCUCAGGCGGUUGGAAGCCAGACAACGACAAGCCGCCCGUGCACCCGCCAAACGAUGACUGA